GUGCCAGCCGCCGCGGUAAUACGAAGGGUGCGAACGUUAUUCGGAAUCAUUGGGCGUAAAGGGUGCGUAGACGGCAUAGAAAGUUGGCUGUUAAAUCCCCCGGCCUAACCGGGGACCAGCAGUCAAAACUCCUAAGCUAGAGGAUAGAAGAAAGAAGUGGAAUUCUCGGAGUAGCGGUAAAAUGCGUAGAUAUCGAGAGGAACACCGAUGGCGAAGGCAGCUUCUUAGUCUAUUCCUGACGUUGAGGCACGAAAGCGUGGGUAGCAAACAGGAUUAGAAACCCCCGUAGUCC
RNAcentral lists this ribosomal RNA (292 nucleotides) under uncultured bacterium. RNAcentral's name for it is "partial 16S ribosomal RNA". It matches the Rfam family "Bacterial small subunit ribosomal RNA", at positions 505 to 796 of the family's 1533-position model. The record is from RNAcentral.